Molecule: ribosomal RNA, 460 nt
Filed under: uncultured bacterium
Lineage: Bacteria
Description: partial 16S ribosomal RNA
Rfam family: Bacterial small subunit ribosomal RNA
Source: RNAcentral
CCUACGGGAGGCAGCAGUGAGGAAUAUUGGUCAAUGGGCGCGAGCCUGAACCAGCCAAGUAGCGUGAAGGAUGACUGCCCUACGGGUUGUAAACUUCUUUUAUAAAGGAAUAAAGUGAGGCACGUGUGCCUUUUUGUAUGUACUUUAUGAAUAAGGAUCGGCUAACUCCGUGCCAGCAGCCGCGGUAAUACGGAGGCGCCGAGCGUUAUCCGGAUUUAUGGGGUUUAAAGGGAGCGUAGGUGGGUUGUUAAGUCAGGUGUGAAAGUUUGCGGCUCAACCGUAAAAUUGCAAUUGAUACUGGCAGUCUUGAGUACAGUUGAGGGAGGCGGAAUUCGUGGUGUAGCGGUGAAAUGCGUAGAUAUCACGAAGAACCCAGAUUGCGAAGGCAGCUUACUAAACUGUGACUGACAUUGAUGCGCGAAAGUGUGGGUAUCAAACAGGAUUAGAUACCCGAGUAGUC